RNAcentral lists this ribosomal RNA (257 nucleotides) under uncultured bacterium. Its description in RNAcentral is "partial 16S ribosomal RNA". It matches the Rfam family "Bacterial small subunit ribosomal RNA", at positions 524 to 777 of the family's 1533-position model. The record is from RNAcentral.
UACAGAGGUCCCAAGCGUUUGUUCGGAUUCAUUGGGCGUAAAGGGUGCGUAGGCGGCGCGGUAAGUCGGGGUGUGAAAAUCUCGGAGCUUAACUCCGAAACUGCAUUCGAUACUGCCGUGCUUGAGGACUGGAGAGGAGACUGGAAUUUACGGUGUAGCGGUGAAAUGCGUAGAUAUCGUAAGGAAGACCAGUGGCGAAGGCGGGUCUCUGGACAGUUCCUGACGCUGAGGCACGAAGGUCAGGGGAGCAAACGGGG